Molecule: ribosomal RNA, 429 nt
Filed under: Fusobacteriota bacterium
Lineage: Bacteria; Fusobacteriati; Fusobacteriota
Description: Fusobacteria bacterium partial 16S ribosomal RNA
Rfam family: Bacterial small subunit ribosomal RNA
Source: RNAcentral
UGGGGAAUAUUGCACAAUGGACGGAAGUUUGAUGCAGCGACGCCGCGUGGAGGGUGUAGGCCUUCGGGUUGUAAAGCUCUGUGAUCCGGGACGAAAGAGCCUGAGGUGAAUAGCCUAAGGAAGUGACGGUACCGGAAAAGCAAGCCACGGCUAACUACGUGCCAGCAGCCGCGGUAAUACGUAGGUGGCAAGCGUUGUCCGGAAUUAUUGGGCGUAAAGCGCGCGCAGGCGGCUUCCUAAGUCCAUCUUAAAAGUGCGGGGCUUAACCCCGUGAUGGGAUGGAAACUGGGAAGCUGGAGUAUCGGAGAGGAAAGUGGAAUUCCUAGUGUAGCGGUGAAAUGCGUAGAGAUUAGGAAGAACACCGGUGGCGAAGGCGACUUUCUGGACGAAAACUGACGCUGAGGCGCGAAAGCGUGGGGAGCAAACAGG